Molecule: ribosomal RNA, 484 nt
Filed under: uncultured bacterium
Lineage: Bacteria
Description: partial 16S ribosomal RNA
Rfam family: Bacterial small subunit ribosomal RNA
Source: RNAcentral
GACGAACGCUGGCGGCGUGCUUAACACAUGCAAGUCGAACGAUGAAGCUAGAGCUUGCUCUGGUGAAUUAGUGGCGAACGGGUGAGUAACACGUGAGUAACCUGCCCCGAACUCUGGGAUAACUGCUGGAAACGGUAGCUAAUACUGGAUACGACCUACGAAGGCAUCUUCUGUAGGUGGAAAGAAUUUCGGUUCGGGAUGGACUCGCGGCCUAUCAGCUUGUUGGUGAGGUAAUGGCUCACCAAGGCGACGACGGGUAGCCGGCCUGAGAGGGUGACCAGCCACACUGGGACUGAGACACGGCCCAGACUCCUACGGGAGGCAGCAGUGGGGAAUAUUGCACAAUGGGCGCAAGCCUGAUGCAGCAACGCCGCGUGAGGGAUGACGGCCUUCGGGUUGUAAACCUCUUUUAGUAGGGAAGAAGCGAAAGUGACGGUACCUGCAGGAAAAGCACCGGCUAACUACGUGCCAGCAGCCGCGGUAA